GUGCUCGCUUCAGCAGCACAUACACUAAGAUUGGAAUGAUACAGAGCAGAUUACCAUGGCCUCUGCAUAAGGAUGACAUGCAAAUUUUUGAAGCAGUCCAUGAAAAC
Molecule: small nuclear RNA, 107 nt
Organism: Cercocebus atys (sooty mangabey)
Lineage: Eukaryota; Metazoa; Chordata; Mammalia; Primates; Cercopithecidae
Source: Ensembl